RNAcentral lists this ribosomal RNA (253 nucleotides) under uncultured bacterium. RNAcentral's name for it is "partial 16S ribosomal RNA". It matches the Rfam family "Bacterial small subunit ribosomal RNA", at positions 524 to 776 of the family's 1533-position model. The record is from RNAcentral.
UACGUAGGGUGCAAGCGUUGUCCGGAAUUAUUGGGCGUAAAGAGCUCGUAGGCGGUUUGUCGCGUCUGCUGUGAAAACUCGGGGCUUAACUCCGGGCCUGCAGUGGGUACGGGCAGACUAGAGUAUGGUAGGGGAGACUGGAAUUCCUGGUGUAGCGGUGAAAUGCGUUGAUAUCGAGAGGAACGCCGGUGGCGAAGGCGGCCUCCUGGCUCGAUACUGACGCUGAGGUGCGAAAGCGUGGGGAUCAAACAGG